Drosophila melanogaster (fruit fly) is the source of this 536-nucleotide non-coding RNA. The record is from Ensembl. NCBI's taxonomy places the organism in Eukaryota, Metazoa, Arthropoda, Insecta, Diptera, Drosophilidae.
GCUCUUACAUAAAGCUACAAUAAAUAGCCGAAGCUCAAGCUUUCCAGCAUCACAUCACGCCCUGCCUGUCCCCAUUUGGUGGUGGCUCUCUUCUGAUCUCUGCGGGUUAGUUCUUAAGUGCCCGUGUCCGUUGUUUACAUAUUCCGAUUUUGAUUUGGAACUACGUCACGUCACGAGUCGCCGUCUUCAAUUGCAGAUGAUGACAUAAAUUUAUUUAAAUUGAAGACGUUUUGCUCCCGGCCUCUGGGUUCUGUGUUCUGGGUUCUCUCCAAUUGUCCCGAAGAUUCCUCGCAGUCACGCGUUGAGCAUACACCGACGGUAUGAAUUUUUUGUGAGUGCUAAUGCGGCAACCUGUUCCCUCGAAAACCUUCGAAUACAGCACACACGCCUCAAGUGCACCGAAUGUGGCUCAAGUGCAGAGAUGCCUUUCACAAGUUUCUCACGACCGACCUCUCAUCGGUUGCACAUAAAGAAAUGCUGUGUUCUUUGAAUGACUGAUCAAAAAGGCGAUUAAAAGACUUUAAAUAACAUAAAUU